UACAGAGGUCCCAAGCGUUGUUCGGAAUCACUGGGCGUAAAGGGUGCGUAGGCGGCGCGGAAAGUCAGGGGUGAAAUCCCGGAGCUCAACUCCGGAACUGCCUUUGAUACUCCCGCGCUUGGAGAACUGGAGGGGAGACCGGAAUUCACGGUGGAGCAGUGAAAUGCGUGGAUAUCGUGAGGAACACUAGUGGCGAAGGCGGGUCUCUGGACAGUAUCUGACGCUGAGGCACGAAGGCCAGGGGAGCGAACAGG
This 254-nucleotide ribosomal RNA is filed under the name uncultured bacterium. Its description in RNAcentral is "partial 16S ribosomal RNA". It matches the Rfam family "Bacterial small subunit ribosomal RNA", at positions 524 to 776 of the family's 1533-position model. The record is from RNAcentral.